GGGGGGGGGGGGGGGGGGGGGGGGGGGGGGGGGGGGGGGGGGGGGGGGGGGGGGGGGGGGGGCGGGGGGGGUGGCGGGCGGGUGGGUGGCGCGUGGGUGGCCUGCCUGGUAGCGGGGGAUAACUCUUGGAAACGAUGGCUAAUCCCGCAUACUAGCCGUUGUUGCAUGACACCUGUUUGAAAGGUGCACUUGCACCACUCCCAGAUGGACCUGCGUUGGAUUAGCUAGUUGGCGUGGUAACGGCUCCCCAAGGCGACGAUACCUAGCCGACCUGAGAGGGGGAUCGGCCACACUGGGUCGGAGACACGGCCCAGACUCCUACGGGAGGCAGCAGUAGGGAAUCUUCGGAAAUGGACGGAAGUCUGACCGAGCAACGCCGCGUGAGUGAAGAAGGGUGUCGGAUCGUAAAGCUCUGUUGUAAGAGAAGAACGAGUGUGAGAGUGGAAAGUUCACACUGUGACGGUAUCUGACCAGAAAGGGACGGCUAACUACGUG
RNAcentral lists this ribosomal RNA (495 nucleotides) under uncultured bacterium. Its description in RNAcentral is "partial 16S ribosomal RNA". The stretch from base 62 to 495 matches the Rfam family "Bacterial small subunit ribosomal RNA", at positions 39 to 507 of the family's 1533-position model. The record is from RNAcentral.